UGCGUAGGCGGUUUGGUAAGUCUUUUGUGAAAACUCCGGGCUCAACUCGGAGCUUGCAGGAGAAACUGCCGGGCUUGAGUGUGGGAGAGGUGAGUGGAAUUCCUGGUGUAGCGGUGAAAUGCGUAGAUAUCAGGAGGAACACCUGUGGCGAAAGCGGCUCACUGGACCACAACUGACGCUGAUGCACGAAAGCUAGGGGAGCAAACAGGAUUAGAUACCCUGGUAGUCCUAGCCCUAAACGAUGACUGCUUGGUGUGACGGGUACCCAAUCCCGCCGUGCCGUAGCUAACGCGUUAAGCAGUCCGCCUGGGGAGUACGGUCGCAAGGCUGAA
RNAcentral lists this ribosomal RNA (332 nucleotides) under uncultured bacterium. Its description in RNAcentral is "bacterial SSU rRNA". It matches the Rfam family "Bacterial small subunit ribosomal RNA", at positions 568 to 898 of the family's 1533-position model. The record is from RNAcentral.